CUGAAACCUGAGCUGCCCGACUACCGUUCUGCCCUCACGGUGAAGAACCAGGGGAAUCCUAUAGGUCUUUGCAAUGUCCCGGAUAAACUGCUGUCUGGACACGAAAGGUGUGGUCCCAGCUCUGCGAACAAGAUUUCAAACUGCCUCACUGACAUCCUGAAAUAUGUCCAAAAGCAGCCAUGAUACAUCUUCAACUCCUGGAUCAAACUAUGAAAUUCUCCCGGCUGCUGCUUUGGCUGAAUUCAUAAUCUCAGUUCUUUUACAAGUCCAGCUGAGGAAUUGACAAGCUAACAGUACAGGGCAAAUAGCAAACAUGUAUCUACAGUAUUACAUGGAUCAUGGGAUUAAAACACACUUUACCUUCA
Molecule: long non-coding RNA, 365 nt
Organism: Haplochromis burtoni (Burton's mouthbrooder)
Lineage: Eukaryota; Metazoa; Chordata; Actinopteri; Cichliformes; Cichlidae
Exons: 2
Source: RefSeq, a predicted model, not a curated record